Molecule: ribosomal RNA, 585 nt
Filed under: uncultured bacterium
Lineage: Bacteria
Description: partial 16S ribosomal RNA
Rfam family: Bacterial small subunit ribosomal RNA
Source: RNAcentral
UGGGGAAUUUUGGACAAUGGGGGAAACCCUGAUCCAGCCAUCCCGCGUGUGCGAUGAAGGCCUUCGGGUUGUAAAGCACUUUUGGCAGGAAAGAAACGUCGCGGGUUAAUACCCCGCGAAACUGACGGUACCUGCAGAAUAAGCACCGGCUAACUACGUGCCAGCAGCCGCGGUAAUACGUAGGGUGCAAGCGUUAAUCGGAAUUACUGGGCGUAAAGCGUGCGCAGGCGGUUCGGAAAGAAAGAUGUGAAAUCCCAGAGCUUAACUUUGGAACUGCAUUUUUAACUACCGGGCUAGAGUGUGUCAGAGGGAGGUGGAAUUCCGCGUGUAGCAGUGAAAUGCGUAGAUAUGCGGAGGAACACCGGUGGCGAAGGCAGCCUCCUGGGAUAACACUGACGCUCAUGCACGAAAGCGUGGGGAGCAAACAGGACUAGAUACCCUGGUAGUCCACGCCCUAAACGAUGUCAACUAGCUGUUGGGGCCUUCGGGCCUUGGUAGCGCAGCUAACGCGUGAAGUUGACCGCCUGGGGAGUACGGUCGCAAGAUUAAAACUUAAAUGAAUUGACGGGGUCAUAGCUGUUUCCU